GGGGUAAUGAUUGGUGCUAUCACGAGUGGGCAGAUUGCUGAUUUUAUUGGUCGAAAAGGGGCCAUGGGGAUGUCAUCCAUGAUCUAUCUAGCAGGAUGGCUCACAGUCUACUUAUCUUUUGUAGGAUAUCUCCAAUUUUCAAUUAUAAUUUUGAUAUAUUUGUAUAUGUUUUUCUUCAUGUUUUACCCUCUGGAUGUUUCAAUGUAGGGAUCUUUUUCCCUUUAUUUUGGGAGAUUUCUUCGUCUUAUAUGGAAUUGGUGUUCUUUCUUAUGUGGUACCAGUCUUCAUUGCUGAAAUAACACCUAAGAAUCUUUAAGGAGCACUAGCAACAGCAA
This is a long non-coding RNA of Vitis vinifera (wine grape), 335 nucleotides long. RefSeq lists it as uncharacterized. Lineage: Eukaryota; Viridiplantae; Streptophyta; Magnoliopsida; Vitales; Vitaceae. The record is from RefSeq and is a predicted model, not a curated record. The transcript is spliced from 3 exons.